This 207-nucleotide ribosomal RNA is filed under the name uncultured bacterium. Its description in RNAcentral is "partial 16S ribosomal RNA". It matches the Rfam family "Bacterial small subunit ribosomal RNA", at positions 568 to 774 of the family's 1533-position model. The record is from RNAcentral.
CACGUAGGCGGAUUGUUAAGUCGGGGGUGAAAUCCCGGGGCUCAACCCCGGAACUGCCUUCGAUACUGGCAAUCUAGAGUCCGGAAGAGGUGAGUGGAAUUCCGAGUGUAGAGGUGAAAUUCGUAGAUAUUCGGAGGAACACCAGUGGCGAAGGCGGCUCACUGGUCCGGUACUGACGCUGAGGCACGAAAGCGUGGGGAGCAAACA